CCCGAAAGAUCGAACGGGGAGAUUCACCGUCAGCGAGAUCGGCUUCGCCGCGGCCCGCGAUGCGCCGUACCACGCGUUCGGCGCACGCGGUCGCGUCGCGUUCUAUGCCCGGUCACGUAGGCGUGCACUUCUCCCCUAGUAGGACGUCGCGACCCGUUGGGCGUAGGCAUAAGGCCCGUGAGGUAGCCUGUAGCGGCGCUCGCGCCGUUGCAGAUCCACGGUCGCCCGGCCUGCUGCCCGGCGGUACACGCACGGUAUUGAGCCGCAUCGAACAUGCGUCCAGUUCGUCGCAAGCGGGGUCAGCGAUACCCGGUGGUCGGACCAAGCGCCGUCACCGGGCCUGAUCAGCUGCUGGCAGACGAUGUCCUCGGACGGGCUCGCUCUCAUAAAUAUUACCGGUCGGCGACGCUACUGCUUUGGGUACUUUCA
Molecule: ribosomal RNA, 429 nt
Filed under: Pseudoperga guerinii
Lineage: Eukaryota; Metazoa; Arthropoda; Insecta; Hymenoptera; Pergidae
Description: eukaryotic LSU rRNA
Source: RNAcentral